Molecule: long non-coding RNA, 837 nt
Organism: Rattus rattus (black rat)
Lineage: Eukaryota; Metazoa; Chordata; Mammalia; Rodentia; Muridae
Exons: 4
Source: RefSeq, a predicted model, not a curated record
AUCUAUUGACAUCCCGCGUGUUCCCGGGCUGUCUGCUCGACCCCCCAGUGCAGGGCGCCAAGGCUGGAGACCGCGCGGCCCUUCUGCAGACCGAUGGAAGCUCCUUGGGUCGACAGAUUACAGCUUCUGCAGCGGCUGGAGCCCAGCUACUCCCUUCAGCCAAGUGGUGGGUGCCCACUGUCCCCAGGGAGAGGAUGCCUGGGUAAGUGCUGCUGUUCCGGAGCAAGGGGAAACCCGGGUGCCUCUAAAUGGUCUUCCCAUGGCACCAGCAGAGGGGUGGUGUGGAGUUGUGGUUUGAGAAAAGCUGAUGAAGCCACUGGGCAGCGAGAAGCCCAGUAGGAGCCAGAAGUACCCAAGAGCAAGACUAGGCACAGUUCGGGUCCAUGUUGCAUAAUGGGAGCCCCUUACAGAUUACAGAGGAAAGGGGGUCGGGGUGGGGUCCAUGCCACGUGGUUUGCUGCCUGGCAGCUUCUGUGUCUGGUAUUGUGUGCUUCCCAGGUAAGCUCACCUGGGCUAAUUUUUUGCAGAAAUAAUAGCUUGGAUCUACAGUGGCCAUAAAGUUGGCUCCAACCCACUAGACUGACAAGACUACGGUGCUCCUGAGUGAGGAUUGUACCCUGGGAUCUGGGGUGCAAUUUCUUCAGUUACAUAUGUGAAGUGCCAGGAGAGACGGCACACCCAGAGUGCCAUGUCCUGACGCGCCUUUGAGCAGCCAGCACAGCAGAUCAUCAGACCUGUCUCCAGAGAGCUCUGGUUCCUCCUCCAGAACAGACUGGCUGCUCAGGAGGCCAUAGCAGGACUGUCAGUUGAUCUCUGCCACGUGUGCUCAACAGUCGU